This 657-nucleotide ribosomal RNA is filed under the name uncultured Saccharophagus sp. Its description in RNAcentral is "bacterial SSU rRNA". It matches the Rfam family "Bacterial small subunit ribosomal RNA", at positions 398 to 1072 of the family's 1533-position model. Lineage: Bacteria; Pseudomonadati; Pseudomonadota; Gammaproteobacteria; Cellvibrionales; Cellvibrionaceae. The record is from RNAcentral.
CGCGUGUGUGAUGAAGGCCCUAGGGUCGUAAAGCACUUUCGCCAGAGAUGAUAAUGACAGUAUCUGGUAAAGAAACCCCGGCUAACUCCGUGCCAGCAGCCGCGGUAAUACGGAGGGGGUUAGCGUUGUUCGGAAUUACUGGGCGUAAAGCGUACGUAGGUGGUUUGUUAAGUUGGAUGUGAAAGCCCAGGGCUCAACCUUGGAACUGCAUUCAAAACUGGCGAACUAGAGUAUGGUAGAGGUGAGUGGAAUUUCCUGUGUAGCGGUGAAAUGCGUAGAGAUGGGAAGGAACAUCAGUGGCGAAGGCGACUCACUGGACCAAUACUGACACUGAGGUACGAAAGCGUGGGUAGCAAACAGGAUUAGAUACCCUGGUAGUCCACGCCGUAAACGAUGUCUACUAGCCGUUGGGGUCCUUGAGACUUUAGUGGCGCAGCUAACGCACUAAGUAGACCGCCUGGGGAGUACGGUCGCAAGAUUAAAACUCAAAUGAAUUGACGGGGGCCCGCACAAGCGGUGGAGCAUGUGGUUUAAUUCGAAGCAACGCGAAGAACCUUACCUACUCUUGACAUCCAGAGAAUUUAGCAGAGAUGCUUUAGUGCCUUCGGGAACUCUGAGACAGGUGCUGCAUGGCUGUCGUCAGCUCGUGUUGUGAAA